AGUAAUGUCUGGGAAACUGCCUGAUGGAGGGGGAUAACUGCUGGAAACGGUAGCUAAUACCGCAUAACGUCGCAAGACCAAAGAGGGGGACCUUCGGGCCUCUUGCCAUCGGAUGUGCCCAGAUGGGAUUAGCUAGUAGGUGGGGUAACGGCUCACCUAGGCGACGAUCCCUAGCUGGUCUGAGAGGAUGACCAGCCACACUGGAGCUGAGACACGGUCCAG
RNAcentral lists this ribosomal RNA (222 nucleotides) under uncultured bacterium. Its description in RNAcentral is "partial 16S ribosomal RNA". It matches the Rfam family "Bacterial small subunit ribosomal RNA", at positions 109 to 334 of the family's 1533-position model. The record is from RNAcentral.